GAUGAAGAACGCAGCGAAAUGCGAUAAGUAAUGUGAAUUGCAGAAUUCAGUGAAUCGUCGAAUCUUUGAACGCACAUUGCGCCCGUCAGUAUUCUGGCGGGCAUGCCUGUUCGAGCGUCAUUACGCCCCUCAAGUCCCCUGUGGACUUGGUGUUGGGGAUCGGCGAGGCUGGUUUUCCAGCACAGCCGUCCCUUAAAUUAAUUGGCGGUCUCGCCGUGGCCCUCCUCUGCGCAGUAGUAAAACACUCGCAACAGGAGCCCGGCGCGGUCCACUGCCGUAAAACCCCCCAACUUUUUAUAGUUGACCUCGAAUCAGGUAGGACUACCCGCUGAACUUAAGCAUAUCAAUAAGCGGAGGA
RNAcentral lists this unclassified non-coding RNA (358 nucleotides) under soil metagenome. RNAcentral describes it as "partial contains 5.8S ribosomal RNA, internal transcribed spacer 2, and large subunit ribosomal RNA". The stretch from base 1 to 120 matches the Rfam family "5.8S ribosomal RNA", at positions 35 to 154 of the family's 154-position model. The record is from RNAcentral.